This 629-nucleotide ribosomal RNA is filed under the name uncultured bacterium. RNAcentral describes it as "bacterial SSU rRNA". It matches the Rfam family "Bacterial small subunit ribosomal RNA", at positions 8 to 637 of the family's 1533-position model. The record is from RNAcentral.
AGAGUUUGAUUCUGGCUCAGGAUGAACGCUGGCGGCGUGCCUAACACAUGCAAGUCGAACGAAGCGCAUGCCUGGAACCCUCCGGGGGGAAGGGCAUGUGACUGAGUGGCGGACGGGUGAGUAACGCGUGGGCAACCUGCCCCGCACUGGGGGACAACAGCCGGAAACGGCUGCUAAUACCGCAUAUGCGCACAGCUUUGCAUGAAGCAGUGUGGAAAACUCCGGUGGUGCGGGAUGGGCCCGCGUCUGAUUAGCUGGUUGGCGGGGCAACGGCCCACCAAGGCGACGAUCAGUAGCCGGCCUGAGAGGGUGGACGGCCACAUUGGGACUGAGACACGGCCCAGACUCCUACGGGAGGCAGCAGUGGGGGAUAUUGCACAAUGGGGGGAACCCUGAUGCAGCGACGCCGCGUGAGCGAAGAAGUACCUCGGUAUGUAAAGCUCUAUCAGCAGGGAAGAAAAUGACGGUACCUGACUAAGAAGCCCCGGCUAAAUACGUGCCAGCAGCCGCGGUAAUACGUAUGGGGCAAGCGUUAUCCGGAUUUACUGGGUGUAAAGGGAGCGCAGGCGGCCUGCCAAGUCUGGUGUGAAAACCCGGGGCCCAACCCCGGGCCUGCAUUGGAAACUGGC